Molecule: ribosomal RNA, 510 nt
Filed under: Triticum aestivum (bread wheat)
Lineage: Eukaryota; Viridiplantae; Streptophyta; Magnoliopsida; Poales; Poaceae
Description: partial small subunit ribosomal RNA
Source: RNAcentral
AUGCAUGAGUUAACUAAGGAAAACAUUGAGCGCAUGAAUGCUAAAUAUAAACUUGCUGGAGAUAAGGGUAGAAAACAUGUUGUGUUUGCACGUGGAGAUCUUGUUUGGUUACAUUUGCGUAAGGAUAGAUUUCCUGAUUUGCGCAAAUCAAAGUUAAUGCCACGUGCUGAUGGUCCCUUUAAGGUGUUAGAGAAAAUAAAUGAUAAUGCAUAUAAACUUGAGCUGCCUGCAGAUUUUGGGGUUAGUCCCACAUUUAACAUUGCAGAUUUGAAGCCUUAUUUGGGUGAGGAAGAUGAACUUCCGUCGAGGACGACUUCAUUUCAAGAAGGGGAGGAUGAUGAGGACAUCAAUACAAUUGUUACACCCACAGCCCCUGCUGCUAUACAUACUGGACCAAUUACUAGAGCUCGUGCACGCCAACUAAAUUACCAGGAAACAGACCCUCGUGGUCAGGUUGAUCGUGCUCCGGCGUGGUCAAUAACCUCUCGGAGUUGGUUUAGCGAUUGCUAA